Molecule: ribosomal RNA, 467 nt
Filed under: uncultured bacterium
Lineage: Bacteria
Description: partial 16S ribosomal RNA
Rfam family: Bacterial small subunit ribosomal RNA
Source: RNAcentral
ACGAACGCUGGCGGCGUGCUUAACCCCUGCAAGUCGAACGGAAAGGCCCUGCUUUUGUGGGGUGCUCGGGUGGCGAACGGGUGAGUAACACGUGAGUAACCUGCCCUUGACUUUGGGAUAACUUCAGGAAACUGGGGCUAAUACCGGAUAGGAACUCCUGCUGCCUGGUGGGGGUUGGAAAGUUUCGGCGGUUGGGGAUGGACUCGCGGCUUAUCAGCUUGUUGGUGGGGUAGUGGCUUACCAAGGCUUUGACGGGUAGCCGGCCUGAGAGGGUGACCGGCCACAUUGGGACUGAGAUACGGCCCAGACUCCUACGGGAGGCAGCAGUGGGGAAUAUUGCACAAUGGGCGGAAGCCUGAUGCAGCAACGCCGCGUGCGGGAUGACGGCCUUCGGGUUGUAAACCGCUUUCGCCUGUGACGAAGCGUGAGUGACGGUAAUGGGUAAAGAAGCACCGGCUAACUACGUG